Molecule: transfer RNA, 75 nt
Filed under: Podarcis lilfordi (Lilford's wall lizard)
Lineage: Eukaryota; Metazoa; Chordata; Lepidosauria; Squamata; Lacertidae
Description: tRNA.Lys
Rfam family: tRNA (bases 7-64)
About the family: Transfer RNA (tRNA) molecules are approximately 80 nucleotides in length. Their secondary structure includes four short double-helical elements and three loops (D, anti-codon, and T loops). Further hydrogen bonds mediate the characteristic L-shaped molecular structure. tRNAs have two regions of fundamental functional importance: the anti-codon, which is responsible for specific mRNA codon recognition, and the 3' end, to which the tRNAs corresponding amino acid is attached (by aminoacyl-tRNA synthetases). tRNAs cope with the degeneracy of the genetic code in two manners: having more than one tRNA (with a specific anti-codon) for a particular amino acid; and 'wobble' base-pairing, i.e. permitting non-standard base-pairing at the 3rd anti-codon position.
Source: RNAcentral
UUGAGAUAGCUCAGUCAGUAGAGCACGAGACUCUUAACCUCAGGGUUGUGGGUUCAAGCCACACAUUGGGCAAAA